Molecule: ribosomal RNA, 599 nt
Filed under: uncultured archaeon
Lineage: Archaea
Description: bacterial SSU rRNA
Rfam family: Archaeal small subunit ribosomal RNA
Source: RNAcentral
AGCCUGCGAUCGGUACGGGCAGUGAGAGCUGAAGCCCGGAGUUGGGGACUGAGACAAGGCCCCAGGCCCUACGGGGCGCAGCAGGCGCGAAACCUCUGCAAUGCGGGAAACCGUGACAGGGGGAUCCCAAGUGCUCAUGCAUUGCAUGGGCUGUUCUUUGGUCUAAGUAACCAGAGGAGUAAGGGCUGGGCAAGACCGGUGCCAGCCGCCGCGGUAAUACCGGCAGCUCAAGUGGUAGCCGCGAUUAUUGGGCCUAAAGCGUUCGUAGCCGGAUAAGUAAGUCUUUGGUUAAAUCCUGCAACUUAACUGUGGGAAAUCUAGGGAUACUGCUUGUCUUGAGACCGGGAGAGGUUAGAGGUACUCCUAGGGUAGGGGUGAAAUCCUGUAAUCCUAGGGGGACCACCUGUGGCGAAGGCGUCUAACUGGAACGGGUCUGACGGUGAGGGACGAAACCUAGGGGAGCGAGCCGGAUUAGAUACCCGGGUAGUCCUAGGCGUAAAUGAUGCGAGUUAAGUGUGGGGGCAUCUACGAGAUGGCCCUGUGCUGUAGGGUAGCCGUUAAACUCGCCGCCUGGGGAGUACGGUCGCAAGGCUGAAACU